RNAcentral lists this ribosomal RNA (225 nucleotides) under uncultured Lactobacillus sp. Its description in RNAcentral is "partial 16S ribosomal RNA". It matches the Rfam family "Bacterial small subunit ribosomal RNA", at positions 138 to 354 of the family's 1533-position model. Lineage: Bacteria; Bacillati; Bacillota; Bacilli; Lactobacillales; Lactobacillaceae. The record is from RNAcentral.
UCGGGAUAACAACCUGGAAACAGAUGCUAAUACCGGAUAACAACAGAUGAUGCCUAUCAACUGUUUAAAAGAUGGUUCUGCUAUCACUCUUGGAUGGACCUGCGGUGCAUUAGCUAGUUGGUAGGGUAACGGCCUACCAAGGCGAUGAUGCAUAGCCGAGUUGAGAGACUGAUCGGCCACAUUGGGACUGAGACACGGCCCAAACUCCUACGGGAGGCAGCAGGG